AUGGCCCCUGUCUGCAACGGAACCGGUGCUGCAGCAUCCGUCAGUGUCUGCAGUCUCCUGGCCACCAACUGCCACCAGCCUCUGCAACUUCUUAGCCAGUUGAGCCAGCUUCUUUGGAAAUCAUGGUUCUGUGGUGUUCUUCCUAAAAUGCUCUUUUUCUUAGGAAGGAAGAGAGCAGUAGAAGGGUUAGGUGUAGCUAUGAGCACAAGUGUGGACAGGACCACAGGAGACAAGGCUAUAAACAUGGCAUGUGCAAUGCUGAAGAGACAGUCUGAUUUGAUAAGAUUUUGA
This 291-nucleotide ribosomal RNA is filed under the name Triticum aestivum (bread wheat). RNAcentral describes it as "partial small subunit ribosomal RNA". The record is from RNAcentral. Lineage: Eukaryota; Viridiplantae; Streptophyta; Magnoliopsida; Poales; Poaceae.